AGUGGCGGACGGGUGAGUAACGCGUGGGUAACCUGCCUCAUACAGGGGGAUAACAGUUGGAAACGGCUGCUAAUACCGCAUAAGCGCACAGUACCGCAUGGUACCGUGUGAAAAACUCCGGUGGUAUGAGAUGGACCCGCGUCUGAUUAGCUAGUUGGUGGGGUAACGGCCUACCAAGGCGACGAUCAGUAGCCGACCUGAGAGGGUGACCGGCCACAUUGGGACUGAGACACGGCCCAA
Molecule: ribosomal RNA, 240 nt
Filed under: uncultured bacterium
Lineage: Bacteria
Description: partial 16S ribosomal RNA
Rfam family: Bacterial small subunit ribosomal RNA
Source: RNAcentral